AUAUAUAUAUAUUCGAGCUUUUCGAGCUUUUCGAGCCUAAUUCGAACGAGCCGAGUAAUACUCAAGCUCGGCUUGAAAUGAAUUUCGAGCCUUUUAUUUUGUUCAAGCUCGGCUCAUUUAAUUUCGAGUCGAGCUCGAGCGAGCCGGAUAUCAAGCCGAACACGAGUCGAACGCGAGCCGGCUCGCUCGUUUGCCAGCCCUAAGUAUGAUUAUAUGUCUAGAAUUUGGUAUUAUAUUCAGCCUUUAAAAUUUUUUUUGUGAAUAAGAUAAAUCACUUUGUAAGUAGGAUGUGCUAUCCUACUAAUAAUGAAUAUCAAGACCUUUUAGGUUAUGUUUGAAGGCAUGAAUAUAUCGUUCAGUGAACCUUUUUAAUUUGUUCAAUAAAUUUGUAUGUUUAAUUAAUAAGAAGUGUGAUCAAAUGUUUAGAAUAAAAUAUCACAUUCAGGCUUUAAUUUUUUUUUUCAAGAAAAAAAUAAAUUAUUUCGUAGAUGAAAUAAACUAUCUCAUCAAAUUAUAAAUAGCAAGAUCUACAUAAAUAAAAACCAAACUAUUUACUUAUAACCAUACUAAAAAAUCCUAAUGCGGAAUAAGUUAUUCAAAUAUAACUUAUUUCGAUAUUCAAACAGAACUUUAAAAAAUAAAAAUCAAAUUUAUUUUUUAUAAUUACACUAAAAUAUUUUUAUACAAAAAAACAGUUUUGAAUAAUUUAUUUUGACCUCUAAAUAAGACGUAGGCGUAUCUAACGUUAUUAGAUAAAAUAGAGUUGGGGUAAAAAAAAUAUAGUGAUAUAUUUUUGCGCUCUCCGGUGGGACUACAUAAAUAUAUUGUAACCAACUAAUUACGAUAUGCGGAACAUGAUAUUAUGUAUAAAAAUAAAAAAGAUAUUUUUUUCAUCGUACUUUUUUACUAAAAAUAACACAAUCUCGCCGCAAUCUCAAAUGAAGCUAU
RNAcentral lists this long non-coding RNA (948 nucleotides) under Ananas comosus (pineapple). RNAcentral describes it as "long non-coding RNA (ACOM_LNC025616)". The record is from RNAcentral. Lineage: Eukaryota; Viridiplantae; Streptophyta; Magnoliopsida; Poales; Bromeliaceae.